Mus musculus (house mouse) is the source of this 757-nucleotide long non-coding RNA. RefSeq annotates it as predicted gene, 40699. The record is from RefSeq and is a predicted model, not a curated record. Lineage: Eukaryota; Metazoa; Chordata; Mammalia; Rodentia; Muridae. The transcript is spliced from 2 exons.
GGGCGCGAGCGCGGCUGGCUCCGGCUCCGGGAGCGCGCUGGGGACGCGCGUGCGCGGCUGAGGGGCGGGGCAACGCUUGCGCGGGUACGCCGGGCCGGCCCCGCCCAGCAACUUUAAAGGCUCGGUUCCAUUGGCCAAUAAGACACGCCGGAGCAGCCCGGAGCUUUACUCCGCUUCGGGGUGCGAGAGGAGCGGCGGGCGGGAGAGCUGGACAGAGGCGCCUCGGGAGACGUGCGACCCCACCGAACGGACUUCAAUGUCGCCCAGGCAAGUGUGUACCUGUGCACCACAUGCAUGCAGUACCAAAGAAUUCCAGAGAGGGCGCCAGAUGUCCUUCAACUGUAAGACUGCCCUUAGCCACCAUACUUCAUACUACAAAAAAACCCAGAAGUUUCUUCAAAAGCAACAAGCACUCUUAACUGGUGAACUGUCUCUCCAGUCCCCCAUUUAUCUAUUUUUUAAGCAUUUAGCCACUGGCUCUAGGGAGCGUUGGAUCCUUCUGUCUUUCUCCACAGCUCAACAAGCUGAACAGGGGUAUAAACCCUGCAUGUUGACCCAGUGAAACAAAAUACCUAGCAGGUAAAAUGGAACUUCUUAGUAAGAAACAGUGGUCAGCUAAUGGCAAACUACAGUCGAUCAAGAGCCAAACCCUAUGAAAUUGCAUGAAAAAAAAAAAAAAAAAGUCACCUGCAGCGGUAUAAUUAGGCCAGGAAGGAAGAUCCCAAGUAACUCCAAACAGUAAAAUGUGUAAAUGAAA